GCAUAGAAAAUAACAUUUUGCCUUGAGGUCCAAACAGUAAAUAUCUUCUACCACAUAGAGUCAGUUUACCACAAACAGUCCCCUUUACGUCCAACAGUAUGGAACCUGAAGCGUUGGAUUGUAUAGCACGGUUUAUAUAACCCAUAUCAAAAAGUCACAAUAUGGUAUGAUGUCUGCUCAUUGUUGAAAGAUAAUGUUGUAAGGAAUAGUAGAAACAUGAGUCCACAUUCUGCCAAACAGUUGGUGCUUGAAUUUCAACAUCAAACUAACACAUGCACACUUCACUAUGUUUUACUCAUAGGCAACAAUAUGGUAAACAGUUCCACACAUUAGUUUGUGUGUGCGUCAUUUAUAUUGAAAAAAUGCGGCACGCUGUUUGUUUUGUUUUUCACAAAGUGAAAAAGAGGAGCAGGAUUUGCUUUCAAAGAUCCGCAUUAAUCGUGAAAAUCGGUUGUUACAUAGGAUUCACCAGGAAAUCCAGCUGCUCGAAAGGGUACUCCUCCUAGGAUCCGACAGCAGUCUGCAAUCAGUCGAUUUUCCAUCCUAUCUGGUCUGUAUUCUUGCUGGGUGAAGUCUUCCGUGUUAGUUCUUCACCGGUAUCGGAAAUGCAUUUUGCGAGGAAUUGGACCUGUUUACAAGCCGGACGUGGGAGUCAAUUCAAAGUUCCACAGCUACAUUACCGUAGUAUAUGUCUUCCAGCAGCGAAUUACCGUAAAAGCUGUCCUUCCCGUGCAGCUGCUCCUAAUGGACUCGAGCAUUACUGUUUCACACAGUGAAAUCCGGAUGCAUAAGGACCUGAUCCAGAUCGACUCGACCCUGCCGGACGGGAAGCUCGAGAAGGAAACCCGCUUGAACAAUUUCAAUUUGUUCGUAUCGAUGUUUUACAUAUUUUGGCUGGCACCUACUUAGGGGUAAGAUGAGUAAAAUAAUUUUGGGAAUUCGAUUUUAUGGUGCUUGAAUAAACACAAUUCAAUUAUUUGAA
Long non-coding RNA from Aedes albopictus (Asian tiger mosquito), 982 nucleotides. RefSeq lists it as uncharacterized. The transcript has 3 exons. NCBI's taxonomy places the organism in Eukaryota, Metazoa, Arthropoda, Insecta, Diptera, Culicidae. The record is from RefSeq and is a predicted model, not a curated record.